AACGAACGCUGGCGGCGCGCCUAAUACAUGCAAGUCGAGCGAGAAGACGUAGCAAUACGUUUGUAAAGCGGCGAACGGGUGAGGAAUACAUGGGUAACCUACCCUCGAGUGGGGAAUAACUAGCCGAAAGGUUAGCUAAUACCGCGUACGCUCCUUGGACUUCGGUUCAGGGAGGAAAGCGAUACCGUGGGUAUCGCGCUCUUGGAUGGGCUCAUGUCCUAUCAGCUUGUUGGUGAGGAACGGCUCACCAAGGCUUCGACGGGUAGCUGGUCUGAGAGGACGAUCAGCCACACUGGCACUGCGACACGGGCCAGACUCCUACGGGAGGCAGCAGUAAGGAAUAUUGCGCAAUGGGCGAAAGCCUGACGCAGCGACGCCGCGUGGGGGAUGAAGGUCUUCGGAUUGUAAACCCCUUUCGGGAGGGAAGAUGGAACGAGCAAUCGUUCGGACGGUACCUCCAGAAGCAGCCACGGCUAACUUCGUGCCAGCCGCCGCUGUAAC
RNAcentral lists this ribosomal RNA (501 nucleotides) under uncultured bacterium. Its description in RNAcentral is "bacterial SSU rRNA". It matches the Rfam family "Bacterial small subunit ribosomal RNA", at positions 29 to 524 of the family's 1533-position model. The record is from RNAcentral.